RNAcentral lists this ribosomal RNA (469 nucleotides) under [Eubacterium] brachy. Its description in RNAcentral is "bacterial SSU rRNA". It matches the Rfam family "Bacterial small subunit ribosomal RNA", at positions 28 to 500 of the family's 1533-position model. The record is from RNAcentral. Lineage: Bacteria; Bacillati; Bacillota; Clostridia; Peptostreptococcales; Anaerovoracaceae.
GAUGAACGCUGGCGGCGUGCUUAACACAUGCAAGUCGAGCGAGAAGUUUUGAAAAGAUUCUUCGGAUGAAAUUUAAAAUGGAAAGCGCGCACGGGUGAGUAACGCGUAGGCAACUGCCCCAUACAAAGGGAUAGCAUUUGGAAACGAAUAUUAAUACCUUAUGAAACUUAACUAGUGCAUGUAGGUAGGUCAAAGAUUUAUCGGUAUGGGAUGGGCCUGCGUCUGAUUAGCUAGUUGGUGAGGUAACGGCUCACCAAGGCGACGAUCAGUAGCCGACCUGAGAGGGUGAACGGCCACAUUGGAACUGAGACACGGUCCAAACUCCUACGGGAGGCAGCAGUGGGGAAUAUUGCACAAUGGGGGAAACCCUGAUGCAGCAACGCCGCGUGAACGAUGAAGGCCUUUGGGUCGUAAAGUUCUGUUCUAGGUGAUGAAAACUGACAGUAACUUAGGAGAAAGCCCCGGCUAA